GGGCGGUUAGCUCAGCUGGUUAGAGUACCUGCUCGACACGCAGGGGGUCACUGGUUCGAUUCCAGUACCGCCCA
RNAcentral lists this transfer RNA (74 nucleotides) under Spirochaetota bacterium. RNAcentral describes it as "tRNA-Val". It matches the Rfam family "tRNA". Rfam says of the family: Transfer RNA (tRNA) molecules are approximately 80 nucleotides in length. Their secondary structure includes four short double-helical elements and three loops (D, anti-codon, and T loops). Further hydrogen bonds mediate the characteristic L-shaped molecular structure. tRNAs have two regions of fundamental functional importance: the anti-codon, which is responsible for specific mRNA codon recognition, and the 3' end, to which the tRNAs corresponding amino acid is attached (by aminoacyl-tRNA synthetases). tRNAs cope with the degeneracy of the genetic code in two manners: having more than one tRNA (with a specific anti-codon) for a particular amino acid; and 'wobble' base-pairing, i.e. permitting non-standard base-pairing at the 3rd anti-codon position. Lineage: Bacteria; Pseudomonadati; Spirochaetota. The record is from RNAcentral.